Long non-coding RNA from Monopterus albus (swamp eel), 790 nucleotides. RefSeq lists it as uncharacterized. The transcript has 4 exons. The record is from RefSeq and is a predicted model, not a curated record. Lineage: Eukaryota; Metazoa; Chordata; Actinopteri; Synbranchiformes; Synbranchidae.
ACUUUCCACUUCCUGAGCUGCUGCACAAACGACUAGCUGGUCAGCCAGUUCCUGAUGGUCAGCCUAUGACUUCAGUUGUCAGUGCUUGGAUGAUCACAAAGGCAGCCAGUGGAGUGACAGGUACACCCUACAGUGAGCUGAUGAAUUUGUAGGUGUCUGCUAUGACAAGACUGAGGUAUCCACACUACGAUGGUUGUGGCAGGCAUGCUAGGCCAGAACGCUACGUGCUGCACGGUGACACAGUCCUCGCAGUUUCUCCCAUGAGGAGCGAUGGAAAGUUGAGCAAAAUCAUGAGUGAACCAACAAUGAUAACACAUGAGGCUAAUAAAAGUUUGCAAGAGCAAGGACAAAGUCAGUAUGCGCCUAUAAGGAGCAAAGUGGUGCUAUUAUUAUUAUUUUGUUCUCUCUGGUCACUGUCUCACUUGAUGAUGCUCAGAAGUGUCACAAACACCUGAAAGGAGUUUCUUCAUUUUUCAAAGGGGGGGCUGUGCGAGGUCCAGAGGUUUAACUGUACUAAUUCAUUAUAUGCUCAUAUAUAUUCCUUGUAUCUGUUUUUCAUUUUAUGUCCUGUACUAUAUUUAAUCAGUGUUGUGUAUAAGAUUGACUGAGAGGUGACCCCAGUGGCCUAAAGAGCGAACUUAUCAGUCUGGAUGGCUGCCCAGACUACACAGACACUGAGGCACCUGUCGCACUUCAGCGACGGUGAGACAGAAGGAGCUUUUUUUUUUUGAUGUCAUGUUGAGAAUCAUUAAUUUUGCUUAUUUGUCUUUGGCUGCACGUCAUUAAUCUG